This 149-nucleotide ribosomal RNA is filed under the name Pseudoalteromonas shioyasakiensis. RNAcentral's name for it is "partial 23S ribosomal RNA". The stretch from base 1 to 131 matches the Rfam family "Bacterial large subunit ribosomal RNA", at positions 2800 to 2925 of the family's 2925-position model. Lineage: Bacteria; Pseudomonadati; Pseudomonadota; Gammaproteobacteria; Alteromonadales; Pseudoalteromonadaceae. The record is from RNAcentral.
CGAGAUGAGUUCUCACUAGACUUUUAAAGUCUCUGAAGGGCCGUUGAAGACUACAACGUUGAUAGGCAGGAUGUGGAAGUGGUGUGAGCCAUUAAGCUAACCUGUACUAAUUACCCGUGAGGCUUAACCAUACAACGCCAAACGCGUUU